UACUUGCCGAAGCAAUGAUUAGUCUCAUGACAUGAAAAUUUAGUAUGUUAUUGCCAGUAACCCUACUAAGAACAUAUGUAAAAGAAUUGUAACUUUUCUUUUCAAAAUAUUUCACAAAAAAAUUAUUUUACUUUUCUUCAUGGUCAGAGCCCUUUUAAUUCAUAACAGUUUAUUUUCUUUUUUUUUAAUUCUUAAUAAGAGCGUUGUAAUAAAACAAAGAUUCAUUUAAACAAUGGUUAGCUAAAACUGCGAAAUCGUAUUAUUUUGUAAGAAUUGACCGUGGCUAACACAAUAAGGAGAAGCUAUCCAUUUCAUUUUAAUUCAGCCACCCGUUUGGGAAAUGUGCUAAAGUUUUCAAUUAUAAAAAAAUCAGCUCUCAUUAAGAUGAAACAAAACCUUUGUACUGUUUUUUUCUGUAAAAAACAUCAAAUUUAUUAUUACUCUACGAAUAUUUUCAAUAUUAAAACAUUCCUGGUCUUUAUUUAGGAUUUUCUUUUAUCAUGCUAGCUCUUACAUUUAAAAUUGAAUAAUAAUACAGUCUGGUCUUCCAAAUCAACGCUGGCAUAAUGAACUUUUAUUCAGCCGCCGUCCCACAAUGAAGUUCGCCUCUUCUUAAGCCGAAAAAAUUGUUAUAUAGGCUAUAGACUAUAGAUUAUAGACUACUAGCCAAUAAUCCCGUGAAAAAAUCCACUUUGGCAAACAAUGGAAAAGAGAACCAUCAUUAGAAUGUUAAUGGCGUCUGCAAGGACCCGUUAAUACAUAAAAACGGAAAUUUGUUUACCUGUUGCCCUGUUGCAAAAAAAAUGGAAUGCUAAUGAAGAAAAUCAAGUGCUUUUGACGACUUGUUACAGAGAUAUGAGAAUUUAAAGGAUUUUUGAUGACGUCAGUAACCCGUCUGUCCAAAAUGGGUAGGAUUAUCCCGCUUUAAAAAGUUGGUCCUAAAUUUGGUAGUCCGUAGUUACUCACGCAGGAGAUGACGUCAAUUAUUUUCACCUGUUUCCAAGUUGUUAAACCUUAAAAUAAAUGCAUGUUCGAUUUUGAUACUUUUCGAAUCCAAGAUCGUUCGAUUUUAAACUUUUGUAACUUCACAAAACAAAUUCGAAUCGUUGUUAAUGUAAAUUGAAACGAAAAGAUGGUUUUAGGUGAGCUACUUUUAUAUUUUUUGUGUGCUAUGAAAAUGUUUUUUAUUUGUUUACGUUUUUAUGUCACCAUUUUUACCCGAACCGGUUAGUAUGGCUUCUAGAGAGACCUGUUAAAAUAAGCCGUAAGCCAAUCAAAUCAUUGGAUUUUUUCAUACUAACCGGUUUUUUGUGGCAGUCAGGUAAUAAUAAUACAGUAAUAACAGAUUUUCCCGGGAUGUACCGCAAAAUAUCGCCCGAGGUCUAAGUUCCAACCGAGCUUGCGAGGUCGGUGCAAUGACUAAGGGCAACAUUUUCGGUACAGCAUGCGGUAAUCGGUUAUUAUUGUAUUUGUUAACCGUCAAGUUAGAUAAAAUAAAAAAUAAGAAUUUUAUUUUUAGUGUUCUUAUAAUAAUAUAAUUCACUAGCACUACUAGGUCCAAAUUUGAAACAGUCCCGUCUAAAAACAAACAUUCUAUUUAUAAUCCGAAAGCCCCAAUAGAAUAAAACUUUGUAAACAAAGCAUUACGAUGCUUAACACGUACAGAAUAAUGUGCAAAGUUGAAUGCGCAGCUGAAAUAUAGUUCGACGAAUAUUAAAGUAAUUUUUUUAACUAGCUAGCUAGCCAAGAAUAACAUGAGCUUCAACGAAUUUUUUAUUGACUCGGUAACCACAAAGCUGCAGGAACGAAUCUGAAAAUGAGAGAUGUAUUUUUUUUUAUGAUUCCGUCGACCUGUAUUUAGUAUUUUUGAUAAAACUGGUUAUCAGAUCAUUGUUUUUUAUGGCAAUGUAGCUAGUUAAGUAGCCAUGUUGAAGAAGCAUCCAGACACAAUGUUGCUGAAUCUGGUUAUUUUAACUGUUAAACUUGACAUUGUUUUUUUUUCUAUCCUAUGAAAAUGUUUUUAUCAAUAAAUGAGUUAGAUGUAUAAUCAUUUCCAAUGCUUCUUAAUUUUUUUUUUCGUGCUUGUUUACAUUUUGAGCUACCAUUUUUCUUAACGAUGGGCAGUACCAUAAAAUAUCGGCCCGUCGUCGUCAGAAGCGCUAAACCAAUCAGAAUGCCUAAAAGCCCGUAUUGCCCGCUUGAAAAAUUUAAAAAUCAAAAUUAGGAGCAGAUGAAUUACAACAACGAUUCGUUCAAAAGCUAAGUGAAUUGUAGAUGAACAAACCGCUCACGAUUUGUUUCAAGUCACAUCUUGUGUCAAUGCAAUAAUGUUUAGCCAGUUUGCAGAAAAAUGGUUUCCAUAGUUUAAAGCCGGCGAUAAUUGUUCAGGAAAUGCCGAAAUAUAAAGUUCUAUGACAUUGGUUUCGAAAACAGGUUAAAUGAUAGCGCGAGUGUGAGAUAUUUGUUAUUGAUUUAAAACUACAAGAAUUCAAAGGAAGAAUGAAGCUAACUUUAAUUGCUUUAGACACCCCGGGGUUACAUACAACGAAGUCUGGGCACUAGUAAAAAGCUUGUAUGGACAAACAUUAUAUAAUGGUAGCGCAACAAGAAGAGAACAACAAAACAACUUAAACGCCAUCAUGACAUCAAAAUCAGAAGAUUAUCUUUAAUGGUUUAUGGACUCGGUACUUAUUAAGCACACGUAAAUAUUUUUUCGAGAUAAACGCAAUAUAGAACGACUUUCCACUACAAGGGAAGAAGAAAAUGAGAAUUUACAAGAUAAAUCACUGCUUUUACUUCAUCUAAUUUGUAUGAAAUUAUCAUGAAUAUAGUACUCUAAAAUUGAUUUUUAUUUAAUUUCAUUGAGGCGUGACAUAAACAAGCUUUGUUUUCUUCUCUUUAAUUAUAGCCGUAUUUUGUCUUUCUGUCCGCGAAAGAUGCGGUCCAUUACAGAAACACGAAAAUUUUAAAACAUGCACCAAUACCAAAUGCGACAUAUUAUUACCAACUUUGUUUUGACCGCUCGACGGAAACAUGCUACGGAGGCCAUUUUAGUUUGGAAGAGAUGGUGUCAGGAUUGCGGAUCUGUUUGAUCUUCUUAGUAUUUGUUUUCACAUGUUAAGACAUAUAUUUUUGCGCUUUUUACCCACGUUUACUAAAACUUAUUCCGCAAAAUAAAAUAAUAUUGCCCGAUUGUUUUUGCUAUGACGGAGUAACACGCUUUGUAAUUUUUAUUUCAGCUUUUGUUGCGGGAAAGUUAUUUUUUGAAAAAUAUGUUAAGGUCGCAACACUGUAAUGAUGUAUGAGCUUCAUUUCAUUUACGACAUACCGCAUACCUGUAAUAAAGCGCUGCACCUGACUGUGUCGCACAGUUUAAAAUACUUAUUAAGCGCUCCUUAGGGCGUUCAACAACAGUUACUUGGGACUUUACCCGGCGAUUCGAUGCCGGGCCUCCUGACUAGUCUUUUUGGUAAUAGACGUAUUCCGUCUGCCUGUCUCUGCGCGGACCCCCGCUGAGUUAGAACAUGAUGUUAUGGAAACACAAAUAUCAAAUGCAAUACAUUUAUUUCCACUUUGUUGCGACGGGUAAAUAUAAAGGGCGGGCGACCCCGUGGAUUUUUCCAUGGAUUAACGACUAGUCUCUAUAAUAAUACCCGUUUUCUGUUCGUCUUUCCGCAAGAAAAGUGUCGUGCAACGCGUACACGAAAUAGCGUGUAAUUAUUAAUGACAUAUACUAUAUGACAAUAUAUAUUUGAUCGUGAUGUUAACCAAUCAUAAUCGCGUUUUCAAUUGUACUAAGGUUAUGUAAACACGAAACAAACAUACAGAAGAGCGAGGAAGUAUUCAAGAAACAAACAUUGCAGGAAGAAAAUCUGAUAUCGACACAGACAAUUUUUUUCAACAAGCUUAAGAAUUUCGUCAAAAUUUUCUGCCGUUAUUUUCAAGAAAUUCUUAAUCAUUUUCCUCUUCUAAACGCAAUUAGCAGACCUAAGUCCCAUAAAGAUGGAGUUGUGAUCGCCCACUCCACCCCGGCUUAACCCAAUACUUUCUUUUCUUACUUCUUGACUUCUUUUGAGACAAUUAUUACAGCACCAGCCCAAGUACUCGUCGCAAAUGUUGAUGACGAAAAAGAAUGGGAAAGUAAAAUUUGAUGCGCAACAUAUAAUCGUGUAACACCAUUGCAUAUGAUGAGACAAGCAGGAGGUUUAUAUGAUCAUAUAUCAUAUGUCAUAUAAAAUUUGAUCGUGUAUAAGCGGCUUCUAAAAGUUUAAACAUCAAAAAUAUAUAUUCUUCUUUGAUUUUUAUCGGAAGAAAGACCACCUGUGCUUUCACUUUGCCAGGAUGUGGUUAUUAAGUUAAACAGGCAGGAAUCAAAUUUUAAUGUUUUUUGACGGGCGAACGGGGUCGUCCGCCUUUAAAUUACACGCUAUGUCGUGAGCCCGCUGCACGACGUGUUUUUUGCAGACAGACAGAUAGAAUACAGCUAUUAUUAUAGAGAUACAAUGACAUCGCAAGAAACGGAAUAGGUACGCGUUCUUAAAUUAUUUCUUUAAGAAACCUAUAAUAAUUUGGUUGAAGAAACAAGAAGUAAAUAUUUCAAAUUGGAUGCAGAUAAUAUUAUAUAUUAUUUAUUUAUAUUUGAGAUGUACUA
Molecule: long non-coding RNA, 4651 nt
Organism: Hydractinia symbiolongicarpus
Lineage: Eukaryota; Metazoa; Cnidaria; Hydrozoa; Anthoathecata; Hydractiniidae
Exons: 4
Source: RefSeq, a predicted model, not a curated record